Molecule: ribosomal RNA, 475 nt
Filed under: uncultured bacterium
Lineage: Bacteria
Description: bacterial SSU rRNA
Rfam family: Bacterial small subunit ribosomal RNA
Source: RNAcentral
AAUGAACGUUGGCGGCGUGGAUUAGGCAUGCAAGUCGCGCGACAAGUUUUCCUGCUUGCAGGAGGACGGAGCAGCGGCGAAAGGGAGAGUAACGCGUGGAUACCUGCCCCUUGGACCGGGAUAGCUGCGGGAAACUGCAGGUAAUACCGGAUAAAGUCCCCGGACCAAAGGUGUGAUUCCGCCGGGGGAUGGGUCCGCGUCCUAUUAGCUUGUUGGUGAGGUAAUGGCUUACCAAGGCAAAGAUGGGUACCGGGUGUGAGAGCAUGGCCCGGCUCACUGGGACUGAGACACUGCCCAGACACCUACGGGUGGCUGCAGUCGAGAAUCUUCCGCAAUGGACGCAAGUCUGACGGAGCGACGCCGCGUGCGGGAUGAAGGCCUUCGGGUUGUAAACCGCUGUCAGUGGGGAGGAAAUGCAUGAGGGUUCUCUCUCAUGUUUGACCGAUCCGCAGAGGAAGCGCAGGCUAAGUUCGUG